RNAcentral lists this ribosomal RNA (468 nucleotides) under uncultured bacterium. RNAcentral's name for it is "partial 16S ribosomal RNA". It matches the Rfam family "Bacterial small subunit ribosomal RNA", at positions 28 to 507 of the family's 1533-position model. The record is from RNAcentral.
GACGAACGCUGGCGGCGUGCUUAACACAUGCAAGUCGAACGGAAAGGCCCUGCUUUUGUGGGGUGCUCGAGUGGCGAACGGGUGAGUAACACGUGAGUAACCUGCCCUUGACUUUGGGAUAACUUCAGGAAACUGGGGCUAAUACCGGAUAGGAGCUCCUGCUGCAUGGUGGGGGUUGGAAAGUUUCGGCGGUUGGGGAUGGACUUGCGGCUUAUCAGCUUGUUGGUGGGGUAGUGGCUUACCAAGGCUUUGACGGGUAGCCGGCCUGAGAGGGUGACCGGCCACAUUGGGACUGAGAUACGGACCAGACUCAUACGGGAGGCAGCAGUGGGGAAUAUUGCACAAUGGGCGGAAGCCUGAUGCAACAACGCCGCGUGCGGGAUGACGGCCUUCGGGUUGUAAACCGCUUUCGCCUGUGACGAAGCGUGAGUGACGGUAAUGGGUAAAGAAGCACCGGCUAACUACGUG